This 304-nucleotide long non-coding RNA is filed under the name Physcomitrium patens. RNAcentral describes it as "long non-coding RNA (PPAT_LNC006777)". Lineage: Eukaryota; Viridiplantae; Streptophyta; Bryopsida; Funariales; Funariaceae. The record is from RNAcentral.
CAACCGCAGAGCUGAGCCGAAAUGCAUCCAACACAAUUUAGAAUGCGAUAACUGUAUCAGAUGUACCUCGAGAUGCGUGGAAGCAAAUAAAAGGGGGAAAAAACAAACCAACCAACAAUCGCAAUUCUCUCUCUCAAACGCUGUGUUCGCAUCGUCAUUGUGCCUUGGGGAUUUAUUAGUCUGGCAGUUUGUCUACAGUGCGGAGGGUGAUUAUAACACAGCGCCCUCUUCUCUCCCCCACACUGGGGUGGAAGCCCCUUUUUCCUUUCUCAUGCUGUUGCUCUGCCUCCGCUUCUUCGUAUUC